Solanum verrucosum is the source of this 183-nucleotide long non-coding RNA. RefSeq lists it as uncharacterized. NCBI's taxonomy places the organism in Eukaryota, Viridiplantae, Streptophyta, Magnoliopsida, Solanales, Solanaceae. The record is from RefSeq and is a predicted model, not a curated record. The transcript is spliced from 3 exons.
GCAAGGGAAGAACUUGUCUGAUUCUGAUACAUUGACUGCUCCAGUUGAGAAAUUUGACAAUCGGUCUCUGGUUAGGAGACAAUCGUAUAUCGAAAUGAUGAUUUUUCAAGAGAGGUGGCAUAAAGCCAUCAAGCAAGAUCAAUGUUGGGUUGAACCAUUUCAAAGUCAAGAAAAAGGAAAAAC